Long non-coding RNA from Chenopodium quinoa (quinoa), 1672 nucleotides. RefSeq lists it as uncharacterized. The record is from RefSeq and is a predicted model, not a curated record. NCBI's taxonomy places the organism in Eukaryota, Viridiplantae, Streptophyta, Magnoliopsida, Caryophyllales, Amaranthaceae. The transcript is spliced from 3 exons.
AUUAGAAACUGUGAAUUUGUAUUGCAAUGGCUUGUAGCAAUCGCAAGUACUCCCUUUGUUCCCAAAAGUUGUUCCUGUUUGAAAUCUUGUGACCAAAUCUAAACGGGAACAACAAGGAGUAGAGGGAGUAUAUAAUACUAGUCAAAAUUAGCUUAGGUUCAAUUGAAUAGCAGUGUUCUGUUAAACUUACUCUGGAAUUUUAGUACUAGUCUAGAUUAUUGUCCCUAUGUUUGGUUGUUGAAUGUCACUUGGAACACCAGACCAUAAGUUUUGGUGCUCGGAAUGGGUAUUGGAAUUUUGGAUUCUGAAAUUUGAUUCCCUAAGGCAGUUCAAAAAUGUACUACUAUACAAUGUACCACAAGCCAAUAUGCUCGUGAUUGUGAUUUCCGGGGUGUGGGGAUAACGAAUAAACGAAUUAUACAUUUAUUGAAUUAGACAGCAUGAUCCUCCCCCUUUAAAAGGUUACUUUAUGUUAGGUUUGGUUAUAUGUGGUGGUGCUUGUGAUCUCGAGUACUGACAUACCAAGUAUAUCUUUUUUUUUUACUUGUAUCAUCAAUUUGAUGGUGAUAUUUGAUCUUGAGAGUUGCACCUAGAUGUAUACAUCCCCUAUAUAUGUUGCAUAAGUUUUUAUUGUAUCGACAAUGUGAUAGUUAAUCAUGUUCCAUGAUCAAGUAUACUUCUACAUGUUUAAUGUUUAAAUACUGAAUUUUAACUUCGCAGAAAUCUAUUGCUUCUCCUGCACGUGGCAUUCUUGCCAUUGAUGAAUCGAAUGCAACUUGUGGGAAGAGACUGGCAUCAAUUGGCUUAGAUAACACUGAGAACAAUCGUCAGAUGUAUAGGCAGCUCUUACUGACAACUCCUGGUCUUGGCGAACACAUUUCUAGUGUCAUUCUGUUUGAGGAAACACUCUACCAGUCUACAACGGAUGGCAAGAAAUUGUCGACUGCUUACUUGAUGAGAAUGUCGUGCCUGUCAUCAAGGUCGACAAGAUGUUGGUUCCUCUGCCAGGCUCAAACAAUGAAUCUUGGUGCCAAGGGUUAGAUGGCCUGGCUUCAAGGUCUGCUGAGUAUUAUAAUCAGGGUGCUCGAUUUGCAAAAUGGCGUAUUCCAUGUGAACCUUUUGCUUUGGCAGUUAAGGAAGCUGCUUGGGGAAUCGCUCGUUAUGAUGCUAUCUCUCAGGUUCAUACUAAGCUUUCUUUGCUUUAUGUUCCAUUCUCCAUGCUUCAGUUUGAGGUGGAAGUGGUGGCCUGGUGGGUGGUGAAUUGGUGAUGGUCUGAUGGUAUAUGGUAGAUGUCUUUGUUCAACCUUUUGGAUCUAUUAUUCUAUAUCUGGCGUAUCAACUAGCUUCAAGACUAAACAACCUACAUACAAACUUUUCAACCUGUACUGAAGAAUGGAUCAGUUGCUUUCAGGCUGCCACUAUGCUCCCUGAAUUCUGCUUAAAUUGAAAUUAACCAUCAUGGACUCAAUUAUUAUGCAAAAUUGACAUGGACACCAUUGGAAAGGGGUUUAGGUGCCAAAGUAUACAGUUAAGAUGAUACAGCUUAAGAAAUAGUAGUUUGGCAAGUUUAGAGAUGUAGAGAAAUCACCAAUUCUUCUUCCCACCACGCUUCCCAACUCUCCUCACCCUUAACACCAAUUCCACCUCUAUAAAGAAGCCAAUCUGUCCAAUC